GGAUCAGACCGGGCCCCUCUGACAGCCAACUGGCUGUGAUGUCGGACUGAUGAC
Molecule: non-coding RNA, 54 nt
Organism: Rhizobiales bacterium 64-17
Lineage: Bacteria; Pseudomonadati; Pseudomonadota; Alphaproteobacteria; Hyphomicrobiales
Source: Rfam